AAAAUGGCUUCCUUUGUGCCUCUUUGUGAUGAGUGUUGAGUGGUCAGGGUGAUAUGCUGGAAAGUAAGUGGGCAGGCAGGCAAGGUCAUAUUGGGCAAAGGCACUGGGCGAUGGAUAUAGGAGUUAAUAAUUUUAUUUUCUCAGCUUUUAUUUGUUUGGAGUUUCAUAUAAUAAAAAGCCAAGAAAAAUAUUGAAGAGUCCCCCAAAAUGGCACUCUUCAAAUAAGUGAAGAGGAUUCUUUUUAGUUAGGUUUAUUUAUUUUGAUGACAGGAAUAAUAUCUAUUUCAAUAAAAUACCGCGGGGCUGACCAUACAAGAAAUCAAGCACUAGAGAAAGUCCCGAGGCAGAGGAUUCGUGCUGAAGGUGGAGCCCUUGGCUGGAGGGGCUGUCGCUGACCAGCCAGACUCCAUGUCACUGGAGUGGGCCAGCUGAGCCUCUGCUCUGCUGUGGGGAGAAGCGGCGUCCUUGGGUGUGUGGCUGAGUUUGCAUCUCUGCAGUCUGGGGAGCCUGUGAGUCGGGGGCCGGCCUGGGCAGGGCCUCCUCUCGGGGGACUUUAGAGAGGAAAGCAAAACGGAAAGGAAGAUUGUGGUUCAUUUGUAGGGCCUGAGUGGAGACUGUCUGCUGACGUGCCCGAUCACUGUCUCAUCUGCCUGUAAACCAAAUGUGUCUAUGUGUAUGAAAUAGACUUUAUUAAGUCAGAAAUAGAUAGCAGGUGUUUUCCACUAACACCUACAUGUAUUUUAGAGAGGUGUGGUUGG
This 758-nucleotide long non-coding RNA is filed under the name Homo sapiens (human). RNAcentral's name for it is "HSALNT0049871". The record is from RNAcentral. Lineage: Eukaryota; Metazoa; Chordata; Mammalia; Primates; Hominidae.